GACCUCCGGUGCCCCGCUAGUGAUUCGAGCACUCAAUUGGCUGGUCACCCUUGUUGCGGGCACUCCCGGUCUACAAGGUCGCGCCUGCCGACUCUCAUCGCUCCCGGUCUGCAAGCGUGAGUGGACGUAUGCAGUGGGGAAAGAGGAGCGAGGAACUACAGAUGGCUGAGGAUGAGCAAAAGCAAUAAUUGAUUCGGUUGUCAGCCGUCGGAUUAUGCUCACGGGGCCAAGAUUAAGGAAGAAGUUCAUGAGACGGUCUACACGGAGAAUUAGAACUUCUAAUAUACAACCAUUCCUGUAAUUGGUACCGAGCUCUGAAGAUUAUCUCUUUUUCCCCAAGGAACUGCGCAUAACAGCUUUCGCGAGGACUCACUAUUAUUUCGACCAGGCACUGGUGAGUGGUGAGUUUGCAACCUGCCAUGUGAGUGGUGAAUUUGGUGACCCAAGGAUAUUAAUUGAAUUUGGAGAGAUGAAAUAUGAUAGGACAUGUUGUAUACCAUCAAGCAUCAAGGACAUAUUUUAUUAUCAUGGUACUGGCUAUUUCCCAUUGAGAAAAUUCACCCAGAGUGUACAUAACUUGACAGAUCAAAAUCAGGUGCCGACAUACUCUUCUCUCCAACAUACUACAUCACUAUCUCUUGAAUCAAACAUUUUUUUUUUGCUUGCCGUGGAAACAUAUAACAAU
Molecule: long non-coding RNA, 685 nt
Organism: Lolium rigidum
Lineage: Eukaryota; Viridiplantae; Streptophyta; Magnoliopsida; Poales; Poaceae
Exons: 4
Source: RefSeq, a predicted model, not a curated record